This 253-nucleotide ribosomal RNA is filed under the name uncultured bacterium. RNAcentral's name for it is "partial 16S ribosomal RNA". It matches the Rfam family "Bacterial small subunit ribosomal RNA", at positions 524 to 776 of the family's 1533-position model. The record is from RNAcentral.
UACGUAGGGGGCAAGCGUUGUCCGGAAUCAUUGGGCGUAAAGAGUGUGUAGGCGGCCCGAUAAGUCCGCUGUGAAAGUCCAGGGCUCAACCCUGGAAUGCCGGUGGAUACUGUCGGGCUCGAGUCCGGAAGAGGUGAGUGGAAUUCCUGGUGUAGCGGUGAAAUGCGCAGAUAUCAGGAGGAACACCGGUGGCGAAGGCGGAUCUCUGGGCCAUUACUGACGCUGAGGAGCGAAAGCGUGGGGAGCGAACAGG